Molecule: non-coding RNA, 28 nt
Filed under: Homo sapiens (human)
Lineage: Eukaryota; Metazoa; Chordata; Mammalia; Primates; Hominidae
Source: RNAcentral
ACAAGUGGCAUAGCAGAUUCCUGGCAGC